RNAcentral lists this ribosomal RNA (482 nucleotides) under uncultured bacterium. RNAcentral's name for it is "partial 16S ribosomal RNA". It matches the Rfam family "Bacterial small subunit ribosomal RNA", at positions 30 to 507 of the family's 1533-position model. The record is from RNAcentral.
AUUGAACGCUGGCGGCAUGCCUUACACAUGCAAGUCGAACGGUAACGGGCCUUCGAGUGCCGACGAGUGGCGCACGGGUGAGUAAUACAUCGGAACGUGCCCGAUCGUGGGGGAUAACGAGGCGAAAGCUUUGCUAAUACCGCAUACGAUCUACGGAUGAAAGCAGGGGACCGCAAGGCCUUGCGCGGACGGAGCGGCCGAUGGCAGAUUAGGUAGUUGGUGGGAUAAAAGCUUACCAAGCCGACGAUCUGUAGCUGGUCUGAGAGGAUGAUCAGCCACACUGGGACUGAGACACGGCCCAGACUCCUACGGGAGGCAGCAGUGGGGAAUUUUGGACAAUGGGCGCAAGCCUGAUCCAGCCAUGCCGCGUGCAGGAUGAAGGCCUUCGGGUUGUAAACUGCUUUUGUACGGAACGAAAAGCCUUCUUUUAAUACAGGAGGGUCAUGACGGUACCGUAAGAAUAAGCACCGGCUAACUACGUG